GAGAAAGCAAAAUGCGGUGUUCUUCACUACCACAAGCCAUGACUGAAAGUGAAUUGCUGGAAAGCUGAAACCCAGAAAUAUCUUGUUGUCUCCCAGGCUGUACUCUUCCCCAUCAUGAAGAUCUGAAGGAAACAAUAGGGUUUUCAGCCUCAUGUAGCUGAGAGAGCUGUGUGAGCUGUGCCUUACCAGCAAAUCCCUCCUGAGAAAUCCCCUGGGAGGCUGCCGCUGCUGUCUGAAGAGGGAAAAGUGGACAGGAAGCAGGUUAGUGCUGUUCAAGGAAGACAACGUGCUUGGCAGGGCAUCUGGCUUAAAUCACAUCCCCAGCUAGAAGUUAGAAGCCAAGUUUGGGUCUACCAGCUGUGCCUGGCAUGGUAAGUGGAGGAAAUUCUGCUGUUUCUGUCUGUGUGGUCUCUCCACAGAGGGUUUGGUCUUGGCUUGGAAGGGUGAACAUCUGAAAAUGAAGUGUGAGACUCUGGCUGAUGGGAGACAGGACAUCAUUAUGAAAGUAUUCUGUGCAGAAGAUGACCAUGGCCAGAAAUGCCCUGCUCACUUCAGGAGAGCCUCCACUGUGAGCAGACACAUCAGCUGUAGGAGAUUUUGUCUGAGCUGCUGCAGGAGCCUGUGACAAUCUGCAGAACCCAAAUAUUCAGAGCUUGUCUGCUUUCCUGGCAUCAGCAGGAAUUGAGAACAGAGCUUGGCACAUCUUUUGGCCUCCUUCUUU
RNAcentral lists this long non-coding RNA (721 nucleotides) under Chloebia gouldiae (Gouldian finch). Its description in RNAcentral is "Erythrura gouldiae (Gouldian finch) lncRNA (ENSEGOG00005004420.1)". The record is from RNAcentral. Lineage: Eukaryota; Metazoa; Chordata; Aves; Passeriformes; Passeridae.